This 802-nucleotide ribosomal RNA is filed under the name uncultured bacterium. RNAcentral's name for it is "bacterial SSU rRNA". It matches the Rfam family "Bacterial small subunit ribosomal RNA", at positions 62 to 876 of the family's 1533-position model. The record is from RNAcentral.
UUGAGCGGAGAUAUAUGGAGCUUGCUUUAUAUAACUUAGCAGCGAACGGGUGAGUAACACGUAGAUAAUCUAUCCUAUACUGGGGGAUAGCCCGAUGAAAGUUGGAUUAAUACCGCAUAUAGCUAUAUAGUUGCAUGAUUAUGUAGUGAAAGAUUUAUUGGUAUAGGAGGAGUCUGCGGCACAUUAGCUAGUAGGUGAGGUAAAGGCUUACCUAGGCGACGAUGUGUAGCCGGUCUGAGAGGAUGAACGGCCACAAUGGAACUGAGACACGGUCCAUACUCCUACGGGAGGCAGCAGUGGGGAAUAUUGCACAAUGGGGGAAACCCUGAUGCAGCAACGCCGCGUGAGUGAAGAAGGUUUUCGGAUUGUAAAGCUCUGUUAGCAGGGAAGAGGAAGGACGGUACCUGCAGAGGAAGCCACGGCUAACUACGUGCCAGCAGCCGCGGUAAUACGUAGGUGGCAAGCGUUGUUCGGAAUAACUGGGCGUAAAGGAUGCGUAGGCGGUUAAACAAGUUAUAUGUUAAAUAUAUAGGCUUAACCUGUAGAAAGCAUAUAAAACUGUUUAACUAGAGUGCAGGAGAGGUAAGUGGAAUUCCUAGUGUAGCGGUGAAAUGCGUAGAGAUUAGGAAGAACACCAGUGGCGAAGGCGACUUACUGGACUGUAACUGACGCUGAGGCAUGAGAGCAUGGGGAGCAAACAGGAUUAGAUACCCUGGUAGUCCAUGCUGUAAACGAUGGGUACUAGGUGUGGGUUGUGAAUAACAAUUCGUGCCGUCGCAAACGCAAUAAGUACCCCGCCUGA